Molecule: ribosomal RNA, 406 nt
Filed under: uncultured bacterium
Lineage: Bacteria
Description: bacterial SSU rRNA
Rfam family: Bacterial small subunit ribosomal RNA
Source: RNAcentral
UAGGGAAUUUUCCGCAAUGGGCGAAAGCCUGACGGAGCAACGCCGCGUGAGAGAAGACGGCCUUCGGGUUGUAAAUCUCUGUUUUUAGGGAAGAAACAAAUGACGGUACCUAAAGAGAAAGCCCCGGCUAACUACGUGCCAGCAGCCGCGGUAAUACGUAGGGGGCAAGCGUUGUCCGGAAUUAUUGGGCGUAAAGAGCGUGUAGGCGGUAAAUUAAGUUGGAUGUAAAAGGCAUGGGCUCAACCGAUGUAAGCAUCCAAAACUGAUAUACUUGAGUGCAGGAGAGGAAAGUGGAAUUCCCGGUGUAGCGGUGGAAUGCGUAGAGAUCGGGAGGAACACCAGUGGCGAAGGCGACUUUCUGGCCAGCAACUGACGCUGAGACGCGAAAGCGUGGGUAGCAAACAGG